GGGGAUGUAGUCUCAGCCGGUUAGCGCGCUUCGCUCACAUCGAAGAGGUCGGGGGUUCGAGUCCCUCCAUCCCCACCA
RNAcentral lists this transfer RNA (78 nucleotides) under bioreactor metagenome. RNAcentral's name for it is "tRNA-Val". It matches the Rfam family "tRNA". Rfam says of the family: Transfer RNA (tRNA) molecules are approximately 80 nucleotides in length. The record is from RNAcentral.